This is a non-coding RNA of Lupinus albus (white lupine), 555 nucleotides long. Lineage: Eukaryota; Viridiplantae; Streptophyta; Magnoliopsida; Fabales; Fabaceae. The record is from the annotation of a GenBank genome assembly.
AUGAAGACGUGUCAGCUGUGUUGGGAAAUGAAGGUAUGAUGAUACUACUUUAUGUCGACUAUAAUAUGUGCUAAGCAUUUAUUUGCACCCAGAAAAAUGGAUCAUGUGUUAAUAUUGAAUUAUAUAUGUAUGAAAAUUCUUCAUUGUUGAACAUGAACUGAAUUAUUUAAACUAAGUAGACAAGAAUGUGAGCAUGGAAAGCUUACACCAGUUUGGUAGGGAUAUAUGAUUUGGCUCAAUGGACAGAUUCUUCUAUGUUAAUCAUAUAGCACCAACAAUCCCAAGUUAUUAUGUUCAGAAUAAAUUACAAACUAAGAACAUUAAAAAAUUGUCUGGUUAAAUCAUGAACCAUUCUAAUGAGAUGCCUAGGAACUUUGAAUGGGUAACAGAACCUAAAGCUAUGAGCCUAAAAGAUAUUGAAACUCCUGCAAACUGUGUCAAGACCCAACCCCAAAAAAAUCUAAAACACUGGCUUGUUCUUUGGUAGUGAAAGAUGACUUGAAUGGUCCUUCGUGAUGUAAAGUAGGACUCUGAUUCACAAAUUCCAUGUGCUUC